UUUUUAUGUACCCCACUAUAGUAGUGGGGGACAUAUUGUUUUUGCCCUGUCUGUCUGUUGGUCUGUCUGUCUGUUUGCGCCAACUUUAACAUUUUGCAAUAACUUUUGCUAUAUUAAAGAUAGCAACUUCAUAUUUGGCAUGCAUGUGUAUCUCAUGAAGCUGCACAUUUUGAGUGGUGAAAGGUCAAGGUCAAGGUCAUCCUUCAAGGUCAGAGGUCAAAUAUAUGUGGCCAAAAUCGCUCAUUUUAUGAAUACUUUUGCAAUAUUGAAGAUAGCAACUUGAUAUUUGGCAUGCAUGUGUAUCUCAUGGAGCUGCACAUUUUGAGUGGUGAAAGGUCAAGGUCAAGGUCAUCCUUCAAGGUCAGAGGUCAAUUAUAUGUGGCCAAAAUCGCUCAUUAUAUGAAUACUUUUGCAAUAUUGAAGAUAGCAACUUGAUAUUUGGCAUGCAUGUGCAUCUCAUGGAGCUGCUCAUUUUGAGUGGUGAAAGGUCAAGGUCAAGGUCAUCCUUCAAGGUCAGAGGUCAAAUAUAUGUGGCCAAAAUCGCUCAUUUUAUGAAUACUUUUGCAAUAUUGAAGAUAGCAACUUGAUAUUUGGCAUGCAUGUGCAUCUCAUGGAGCUGCACAUUUUGAGUGGUGAACGGUCAAUUAUGUCCCCCACUAUAGUAGUGGGGGACAUAUUGUUUUUGCCCUGUCUGUCUGUUGGUCUGUCUGUCUGUUUGCGCCAACUUUAACAUUUUGCAAUAACGUUUGCUAUAUUGAAGAUAGCAACUUCAUAUUUGGCAUGCAUGUGUAUCUCAUGAAGCUGCACAUUUUGAGUGGUGAAAGGUCAAGGUCAAGGUCAUCCUUCAAGGUCAGAGGUCAAAUAUAUGUGGCCAAAAUCGCUCAUUUUAUGAAUACUUUUGCAAUAUUGAAGAUAGCAACUUGAUAUUUGGCAUGCAUGUGUAUCUCAUGGAGCUGCACAUUUUGAGUGGUGAAAGGUCAAGGUCAUCCUUCAAGGUCAGAGGUCAAAUAUAUGUGGCCCAAAUCGCUUAUUUUAUGAAUACUUUUGCAAUAUUGAAGAUAGCAACUUGAUAUUUGGCAUGCAUGUGUAUCUCAUGGAGCUGCACAUUUUGAGUGGUGAAAGGUCAAGGUCAUCAUUCACAAGGUCAAGGUCAUCCUACAAUGUCAAACAUCAUAUAGGGGGACAUUGUGUUUCACAAACACAUCUUGUUAUACUUAGAAAAUUUGGUUAAGUUUUGUGUUUAGGUCCACUUUAUUCCUACAGUAUCAAAGCUAUUGCUUUCAUACUUGCAACACUUAUUAACUAUCAUAAGGCGACUGUGCAGGCAAAGUUAUGUAACUCUGACUGGCAUUUGGAUGGAAUUAUGGGCCCUUUAUACUUAGAAAAUAGAAAAUUUGGUUAAGUUUUGUGUUGUGGUCCACUUUACCCCUAAAUUAUCAUAGAUAUUGCUUUCAUACUUGAACACUCGCAAACUAUCAUAAGGGUACAGUAAAAGGACAAGUUGCAUAACUCUGGAUGUCAUUUUUAUGGAAUUAUGGCCCUUUUUUGACUUAGUAACUUUGAAUAUAUGGUUAAAUUUUGUGUUUCGAUCCACUUUACUUCUUAAGUAUCAAGGCUAUUGCUUUCAAACUUCAAAUACUUUCAUGCUAUCAUGAGGUUACUGUACCUGGCAAGUUGAAUUUUACCUUGACCUUUGACUGACCUUGACUCUCAAGGUCAAAUUAUUAAAUUUUGCUAAAAUUGCCAUAACUUCUUUAUUUAUGAUUAGAUUUGAUUG
This is a long non-coding RNA of Dreissena polymorpha, 1777 nucleotides long. RefSeq lists it as uncharacterized. The record is from RefSeq and is a predicted model, not a curated record. NCBI's taxonomy places the organism in Eukaryota, Metazoa, Mollusca, Bivalvia, Myida, Dreissenidae. The transcript has 3 exons.